UACGGAGGAUGCGAGCGUUAUCCGGAUUUAUUGGGUUUAAAGGGUGCGUAGGUGGUGAUUUAAGUCAGCGGUGAAAGUUUGUGGCUCAACCAUAAAAUUGCCGUUGAAACUGGGUUACUUGAGUGUGUUUGAGGUAGGCGGAAUGCGUGGUGUAGCGGUGAAAUGCAUAGAUAUCACGCAGAACUCCGAUUGCGAAGGCAGCUUACUAAACCAUAGCUGACACUGAAGCACGAAAGCGUGGGGAUCAAACAGG
This 253-nucleotide ribosomal RNA is filed under the name Parabacteroides merdae. Its description in RNAcentral is "partial 16S ribosomal RNA". It matches the Rfam family "Bacterial small subunit ribosomal RNA", at positions 524 to 776 of the family's 1533-position model. The record is from RNAcentral. Lineage: Bacteria; Pseudomonadati; Bacteroidota; Bacteroidia; Bacteroidales; Tannerellaceae.